GUUGAACGCUGGCGGCAGGCCUAACACAUGCAAGUCGAGCGGAUGAAGGGAGCUUGCUCCUGGAUUCAGCGGCGGACGGGUGAGUAAUUCCUAGGAAUCUGCCUGGUAUUGGGGGAUAACGUCCGGAAACGGGCGCUAAUACCGCAUACGUCCUGAGGGAGAAAGUGGGGGAUCUUCGGACCUCACGCUAUCAGAUGAGCCUAGGUCGGAUUAGCUAGUUGGUGGGGUAAAGGCCUACCAAGGCGACGAUCCGUAACUGGUCUGAGAGGAUGAUCAGUCACACUGGAACUGAGACACGGUCCAGACUCCUACGGGAGGCAGCAGUGGGGAAUAUUGGACAAUGGGCGAAAGCCUGAUCCAGCCAUGCCGCGUGUGUGAAGAAGGUCUUCGGAUUGUAAAGCACUUUAAGUUGGGAGGAAGGGCAGUAAGUUAAUACCUUGCUGUUUUGACGUUACCAACAGAAUAAGCACCGGCUAACUUCGUG
This 484-nucleotide ribosomal RNA is filed under the name uncultured bacterium. RNAcentral's name for it is "partial 16S ribosomal RNA". It matches the Rfam family "Bacterial small subunit ribosomal RNA", at positions 28 to 507 of the family's 1533-position model. The record is from RNAcentral.